RNAcentral lists this ribosomal RNA (406 nucleotides) under uncultured cyanobacterium. Its description in RNAcentral is "bacterial SSU rRNA". It matches the Rfam family "Bacterial small subunit ribosomal RNA", at positions 353 to 772 of the family's 1533-position model. Lineage: Bacteria; Bacillati; Cyanobacteriota. The record is from RNAcentral.
AGUGGGGAAUUUUCCGCAAUGGGCGAAAGCCUGACGGAGCAAUACCGCGUGAGGGAAGACUGCCUAUGGGUUGUAAACCUCUUUUUUCAGGGAGGAAUAUAAUGACGUGUACCUGAAGAAUAAGCAUCGGCUAACUCCGUGCCAGCAGCCGCGGUAAGACGGAGGAUGCAAGUGUUAUCCGGAAUCACUGGGCGUAAAGCGUUUGUAGGUGGUUUAAUAAGUCAACUGUUAAAUCUUGAGGCUCAACUUCAAAUCAGCAGUUGAAACUAUUAGACUAGAGUAUAGUAGAGGUAAAGGGAAUUUCCAGUGGAGCGGUGAAAUGCGUAGAGAUUGGAAAGAACACCGAUGGCGAAGGCACUUUACUGGGCUAUUACUAACACUCAGAAACGAAAGCUAGGGUAGCAAA